UAAAAACUAUUUUUUUUUUGAAAAUUAAAAUAUAAAAUGGUGGUAGGAUUAGGAGAUCAAGACAAAUAAUUAAGUUGGAUUUGGAAGGUGGUGGCUAUAUUAGUUGAUAAUUAAGAGAUAACAUAUGUGAUUUUGUUGACAAAGGGAGAUGGGUAUAGUUGCCAUGUAUCUGUUUCAAGUAUGUACUGGUUUCAAGUGUGAAUGUAGGCUUGGAAUAAUACAGGAGAGAGUAGGUAUAUAUAUAUGCACUACAAUGAAACAUUAGAUCUUAAUUAAAAGAGACGGUCAGGAUUAAAUUAUUUUGUAUAAGUGCAG
This 315-nucleotide long non-coding RNA is filed under the name Carica papaya (papaya). RNAcentral describes it as "long non-coding RNA (CPAP_LNC006264)". The record is from RNAcentral. Lineage: Eukaryota; Viridiplantae; Streptophyta; Magnoliopsida; Brassicales; Caricaceae.